This 465-nucleotide ribosomal RNA is filed under the name uncultured bacterium. RNAcentral describes it as "partial 16S ribosomal RNA". It matches the Rfam family "Bacterial small subunit ribosomal RNA", at positions 28 to 507 of the family's 1533-position model. The record is from RNAcentral.
GAUGAACGCUGGCGGCGUUCUUAACACAUGCAAGUCGAACGGAAAGGCCCAAGCUUGCUUGGGUACUCGAGUGGCGAACGGGUGAGUAACACGUGGGUGAUCUGCCCUGCACUUCGGGAUAAGCCUGGGAAACUGGGUCUAAUACCGGAUAGGACCACAUUUUGGAUGGUGUGGUGGAAAGUUUUUCGGUGUGGGAUGAGCUCGCGGCCUAUCAGCUUGUUGGUGGGGUAAUGGCCUACCAAGGCGUCGACGGGUAGCCGGCCUGAGAGGGUGUACGGACACAUUGGGACAGAGAUACGGCCCAGACUCCUACGGGAGGCAGCAGUGGGGAGUAUGGCACAAUGGGCGAAAGCCUGAUGCAGCGACGCCGCGAGGGGGAUGACGGACUUCGGGUUGUAAACUCCUUUCGCUAGGGACGAAGCGCAAGUGACGGUACCUGGAGAAGAAGCACCGGCUAACUACGUG